Molecule: RNA transcript, 4440 nt
Organism: Rhinopithecus roxellana (golden snub-nosed monkey)
Lineage: Eukaryota; Metazoa; Chordata; Mammalia; Primates; Cercopithecidae
Gene: IL5RA
Gene name: interleukin 5 receptor subunit alpha
Exons: 13
Source: RefSeq, a predicted model, not a curated record
AAACAGAACAGAAAUGCAACGGCUUAGAGCACCCACAGAAAACUUGAUUACCUUGUCACCAUGAGUAAAAGCUAAUUCCAACUCCUGAAGAGAGCAAACCAGCUCUGAAAGAGAGUGAAAACGCAGACGAGACAGUUAUCAGAUAAUGGCUAUCUGGACGAGAGAUUCUUUCAUUUGACAGCAGUUUGGUUGUUGGGAGUUCCAGUUUGGCUUCUACAUAGUUGCUCUGUACAAAUCCUCCUCCAUAUUUUCUUAGAGAAAAUGUGUUGCCAUCCCAUCGUGAAGGAAGCUGCCCAAGAGUUUUUAACCAUUACAGCUGUGAUGAUGAAAGAGUGAAGAACCGCCUCUAAGUUAAAAAGUAGUGCACCCAGAGAUAAAGCUCAUUCUCAAUGCCCUGCCGCUGCUUCUCAUCGAUGGCCACUGCACUUCUCAGGCCAGGCACACUGAGCAUCGGUCCUGUGCCUGACACUGUGCUAUAUGCUGGUGUUGCAGCCAUGAGCAUAGACACGACAGACACGGUCCUCGCCAUCUACUGUUGAGUACUGAUUGGAACAAGAGGAUCGUCUGUAGACAGGAUAUGAUCAUCAUGGCACCUGUAUUACUGAUACUUUUGGGGGCCACUGAGAUACUGCAAGCUGACUUACUUCCUGAUGAAAAGAUUUCACUUCUCCCACCUGUCAAUUUCACCAUUAAAGUUACUGGUUUGGCUCAAGUUCUUUUACAUUGGGAACCAAAUCCUGAUCAAGAGCAAAGGAAUGUUAAUCUAGAAUAUCAAGUGAAAAUAAAUGCUCCAAAAGAAGAUGAUUAUGAAACCAGAAUCACUGAAAGCAAAUGUGUAACCAUCCUCCACAAAGGCUUUUCAGCAAGUGUGAGGACCAUCUUGCAGAACGACCACUCACUCCUGGCCAGCAGCUGGGCUUCUGCUGAACUUCAUGACCCACCAGGGUCUCCCGGAACCUCAGUUGUGAAUUUAACUUGCACCACAAACACUAUAGCAGAUAAUUAUUCACAUUUAAGGCCAUACCAAGUUUCCCUUCACUGCACCUGGCUUGUUGGCACAGAUGCCCCUGAGGACACGCAGUAUUUUCUCUACUAUAGGUAUGGCUCUUGGACUGAAGAAUGCCAAGAAUACAGCAAAGACUCACUGGGGAGAAACAUCGCAUGCUGGUUUCCCAGGACUUUUAUCCGCAGCAGAGGGCGUGACUGGCUUGCGGUGCUUGUUAACGGCUCCAGCAAGCACUCUGCCAUCAAGCCCUUUGAUCAGCUGUUUGCCCUUCACGCCAUUGAUCGAAUAAAUCCUCCACUGAAUGUCACAGCAGAGAUUGAAGGAACUCGUCUCUCUAUCCAAUGGGAGAAACCAGUGUCUGCCUUUCCAAUCCAUUGCUUUGAUUAUGAAGUAAAAAUACACAAUGCAAGGAACGGAUAUUUGCAGAUAGAAAAAAUGAUGACCAACGCAUUCAUCUCAAUAAUUGAUGAUCUUUCUAAGUAUGAUGUUCAAGUGAGAGCAGCAGUGAGCUCCAUGUGCAGAGAGGCGGGGCUCUGGAGUGAGUGGAGCCAACCUAUUUAUGUGGGAAAAGAUGAACACAAGCCCUUGAGAGAGUGGUUUCUCAUUGUGCUUAUGGCAACCAUCUGCUUCAUCUUGUUAAUUCUCUUGCUCAUCUGUAGAAUAUGUCAUUUAUGGAUCAAGUUGUUUCCACCAAUUCCAGCACCAAAAAGUAGUAUCAAAGAUCUCUUUGUAACCGCUAACUAUGAGAAAGCUGGUUCCUGUUGAGACAGAAAUUGAAGUCAUCAGUUAUAUAGAGAAGCCUGGAGUUGAGACCCUGGAGGAUUCUGUGUUUUGACUGCCACUGUGGCAUCCUCUGAUGAACUCACACACACAUGCCUCAGUGAAAAGAAUAGGGAUGCUGGUUCUUGGCUAAGAGGUGUUCAGAAUUUAUGGAAUACUCAAUUUAGCUGCGAAGCAAUACACACAGACACAUCAGUCUUAUAUCCCUUAAAAGUAUGGAUGCUUCAUCAAAAUCUCCUCACCCACAGCAGGGAAGUUGAUUCGUCCAAGCAUUUUGCCAUGUUUUUUCUCACCACUCCGAACAGGGUAGCACCUCCUUACCUGCCGAUCUUUGCAAUUUGCUUGACUUACCUCAAACUUUUCUUGCACAAGAGACAGCUUUUAAGGCUAACGUCCAGCUGUCUUUACUUCUGGCAGUGCCCGUUUGGUUGUUUAAGCUGCCAAUGGUAGCACUCAGCUACCAUCUGAGGAAGAAAGCAUUUUGUACCAGCUUGGAGUGAAUCAUGAACUUGGAUUCAAGACUAUCUUUUCUAUACCAAGUGAGAGCCACAAAUUCUUCACCCCCCUACAGUAUAGAAUGAUCUUUUUAUAGGUAGAGAGAGAGAGAGAGAGAGAGAGUGUGUGUGUGUGUGUGUGUGUGUGUGUGUGUGAGAGAGAGAGAGAGAGAGAGAGAGAGAGAGAGAGAGAGAGAGAGAGAGAGAGAGAGAGAGAAAUUAUCUCAAGCUCCAGAGUCCUGAUCCAGGAUACAUCAUUUGAAACCAACUAAUUUAAAAGCAUAAUAUAGCUAAGAUAUCACCCCAUAUUAAAAGAGAGGACAGGAUUUCGUUCAAAUAUUACAUUCUUGAAGGAAGACUUAAUAUUCUGGAAAUAUGCUGAGAAAGUCAUUGAGCAUAAUUCAAUCAUGAAAGGGAUCACUGAAUCAAGAAGGAACUUUCUGAAGAGACAUUUGCUGCCAAAGGCUUCAGAGCAACUCAAGUAAUGCCAGGUCAAUCCUAGUCUCUCAAGUUUGGAAAGGUUUCUACAAGGCCAUCCCAUCAAAUAUCCCAAUCUAUACAGAAGUUCUUCUUCCUAACAUCUUCACAUAUGAGUCUGCAUCCAGAUUGGAGGCCUUUGUGAUGGGUGAUGAACUACAGGUGGAACCAAGUACAGGUGUGUCCUGGGCAGAGAUGGGCCAGAGGAAGGAACCCAAACAGUGCUGAUUCUACAUGGCCCUGAGUCAGGAAGCUGAAGGCUGAGAAAGGAGGAGCAACACGAAGUAGCCCAUGUGUCCUCCUUGGUGGAUUGGGAACUUCUUCCUCCCUUCUUGCCUUGUGGAACCCAUAGUCAUUCUUUGGGAACCCAUAAUCAUCAUCACUUCUUCCAUGAAGCCUUCAAAAGCAGAGUUUGUUGAUCCCACCUCUGGAUUCUCAUUCUGGGCCUCAUCCAGAAUGAGAGCAUCGCCAUGUUGGAGCUACUGCAUUGCAGGAUAUACCAUUAACAGCUGGGAGGCCUCCCCUCUAGACUGCGAGUUCCAGGAGGAUGGAGCUUGUGUGAAAUAUGUCUUUUUAUCUGCAGUGUCUAGGACAGUAUCUGACCUAAGAAAAUAUAAAUGUUUCUUAAGCCCUCUGUCAGCCCUGCUAUGGCACCUUGUAUAUAGGUUAGACUGAACAGUAUUUGGCAGAGAUCCUCAAGGCCUACAAUAAUAACAUGGGGAGGAAGCUGGGUGUCUAACAACAAUGUGGUUAGAAGCAACCAGGAGACACAUGUGCCUAACCAUUGGACUACUGUGACCUGGAUGUUUUUGCUGCCAAAGUGUCUAAAUGGUUAUGUAUAAAUUGCUGUGUAAGAGGCGUUUCAGAAGUGGCUCAUUUUGAGUGGUCUAUACUGUUCUCACUAGCCUUGUCACGGCAAGUCAAAGAGUUUGAAAUUCACUUAACAGUAAACACCAUCAGCGACAGGUUGAUGUAAGGUAAAGUCAUGAUAUCGGCUCCCAUCUCUUGCCAUCUCCCACUAGGACAGGGUAGAGAGUCACUUUUUUUCCUAGAGCCUCCAUGGCCACAGGAUCAGAACAAACAUGCUUUUCCAAGAUAUCCGUUCCAAUAGGGAUUUUAGCCCAGUUUCUUUCCUUGGCAUUUGGAAUUCACUGCGUGCAGCAUGGGGGAGUGCUGGAGAGACGGGAGGGUGAAGGUCAUGUUUGCCAAUAGCCAGACCACCUGAGCCUCAUUGAAAUGCCUCAGACCUCAAGCUAUUCAUGCAGGCUGGGGAAGAAUCCAUGUGGGCAAAGAACAUCCUGAUUAAAAAUGCAAACGUUUUCAUGGUGAGACUUAUAUGUGUCAGGACCAUCUGCUGGUGGAAUUAAUAAGCCUUAGGUGCUAAUUUGUUAAAGAAAAAGUAGAUAUCUGGAAGUGAGAACAGAGAACUGAAAACAAUCUUUGAUGGCACAAGUAAAGGUGAAAAACCUAAUUAGAACAGGACUUGGUGCUAGCCUAAGGACUGUAGCUAUUCCUGCUUCUACAUCCUUCAAAUUGAGUACCAGGGUGCAAAGUUUUUGAAAACCAUUUCUUUCUUUGGAAUUUUGCAUUGUACUAAAAGACAAUUUUAUUUCCUGUUUUGUAGGUAAUAGAUGUGAAUAUAAAAUUUCAAAAUGAGAACUAUUAAACAUAAAUGACAGUGAA